AGGCGGCGGGCGCGGCCGGGAUGGCGAAGAGCAACGGAGAGAAUGGGCCGCGCGCGCCCGCGGCCGGGGAAAGCCUGUCGGGAACCCGGGAGAGCCUGGCCCAGGGCCCCGACGCCGCAACCACCGACGAACUCAGCUCUCUCGGGUCCGACUCGGAGGCCAACGGCUUCGCCGAGCGCCGCAUCGACAAGUUCGGCUUCAUCGUGGGCUCGCAGGGCGCCGAGGGCGCGCUGGAGGAAGUCCCCCUGGAGGUGCUGAGGCAGAGGGAGUCCAAGUGGCUGGACAUGCUCAACAACUGGGACAAAUGGAUGGCCAAGAAGCACAAAAAGGCUGACGGUAUCCUGCCACAUGGCUGCUGAAACCAACAUACCUGCGUGAAAGUGCCCAGGCCACACCUCUGGGCACAUUCUGGUUCAUCUCAUGAGCUACCUUCCCUGUGGCUGCAGCUGAGCCGCACACAGUGCAAUGCCCUCCCUGGUGACAGACUAUGGGGUUCACCCAACUUGUAAUGGUUCCUUUU
RNAcentral lists this small RNA (520 nucleotides) under Pan troglodytes (chimpanzee). Its description in RNAcentral is "processed transcript". The record is from RNAcentral. Lineage: Eukaryota; Metazoa; Chordata; Mammalia; Primates; Hominidae.